GACGAACGCUGGCGGCGUGCUUAACACAUGCAAGUCGAACGGAAAGGCCCUGCUUUUGUGGGGUGCUCGAGUGGCGAACGGGUGAGUAACACGUGAGUAACCUGCCCUUGACUUUGGGAUAACUUCAGGAAACUGGGGCUAAUACCGGAUAGGAGCUCCUGCUGCAUGGUGGGGGUUGGAAAGUUUCGGCGGUUGGGGAUGGACUCGCGGCUUAUCAGCUUGUUGGUGGGGUAGUGGCUUACCAAGGCUUUGACGGGUAGCCGGCCUGAGAGGGUGACCGGGCACAAUGGGCCUGAGAUACGGCCCAGACUGCUACGGGAGGCAGCAGGGGGGAAUAUUGCACAAUGGGCGGAAGCCUGAUGCAGCAACGCCGCGUGCGGGAUGACGGCCUUCGGGUUGUAAACCGCUUUCGCAUGUGACGAAGCGUGAGUGACGGUAAUGGGUAAAGAAGCACCGGCUAACUACGUG
This 468-nucleotide ribosomal RNA is filed under the name uncultured bacterium. Its description in RNAcentral is "partial 16S ribosomal RNA". It matches the Rfam family "Bacterial small subunit ribosomal RNA", at positions 28 to 507 of the family's 1533-position model. The record is from RNAcentral.